This 504-nucleotide ribosomal RNA is filed under the name uncultured bacterium. RNAcentral's name for it is "bacterial SSU rRNA". It matches the Rfam family "Bacterial small subunit ribosomal RNA", at positions 30 to 528 of the family's 1533-position model. The record is from RNAcentral.
AUUGAACGCUGGCGGAAUGCUUUACACAUGCAAGUCGAACGGUAGAGGGGGCAACCCCUUGAGAGUGGCGAACGGGUGAGUAAUAUAUCGGAACGUGCCCAGUCGUGGGGAUAACGUAGCGAAAGUUACGCUAAUACCGCAUACGAUCUAAGGAUGAAAGCGGGGGACUCGCAAGAGCCUCGCGCGAUUGGAGCGGCCGAUAUCAGAUUAGGUAGUUGGUGGGGUAAAGGCUCACCAAGCCAACGAUCUGUAGCUGGUCUGAGAGGACGACCAGCCACACUGGAACUGAGACACGGUCCAGACUCCUACGGGAGGCAGCAGUGGGGAAUUUUGGACAAUGGACGCAAGUCUGAUCCAGCCAUUCCGCGUGCAGGAUGAAGGCCCUCGGGUUGUAAACUGCUUUGUACGGAACGAAAAGGUUUCUAUUAAUACUAGGAGCUCAUGACGGUACCGUAAGAAUAAGCACCGGCUAACUAACGUGCCAGCAGCCGCGGUAAAGUGACU